CGGCUGCAGUCGAGAAUAUUCCUCAAUGGCCGAAAGGCUGAAGGAGCGACGUCGCGUGCAUGAAGACGCUCUUCGGAGUGUAAAGUGCUUUUAUCUGGGAAGAAACAAUGACUGUACCAGAUGAAUAAGGGGCUGCUAAACUCGUGCCAGCAGCAGCGGUAAUACGAGUGCCCCUAGCGUUAUCCGGAUUUAUUGGGCGUAAAGAGUACGUAGGCGGUUUAUCGCAUCUCCUGUUAAAUCCCGAGGCUCAACUUCGGGGCUGCGGGAGAGAUGGACAAACUAGAGAUCGGGAGAGGCAAGCGGAAUUGCUGGUGUAGGGGUUAAAUCCGUUAAUAUCAGCAGGAACACCAAAUGCGAAGGCAGCUUGCUAGAACGAUUCUGACGCUAAGGUACGAAAGCGUGGGGAGCGAAUGGGAUUAGAUACCCGUGUAGUC
Molecule: ribosomal RNA, 434 nt
Filed under: uncultured microorganism
Description: bacterial SSU rRNA
Rfam family: Bacterial small subunit ribosomal RNA
Source: RNAcentral